Molecule: ribosomal RNA, 468 nt
Filed under: uncultured bacterium
Lineage: Bacteria
Description: partial 16S ribosomal RNA
Rfam family: Bacterial small subunit ribosomal RNA
Source: RNAcentral
GACGAACGCUGGCGGCGUGCUUAACACAUGCAAGUCGAACGGAAAGGCCCUGCUUUUGUGGGGUGCUCGAGUAGCGAACGGAUGAGUAACACGUGAGUAACCUGCCCUUGACUUUGGGAUAACUUCAGGAAACUGGGGCUAAUACCGGAUAGGAGCUCCUGCUGCAUGGUGGGGGUUGGAAAGUUUCGGCGGUUGGGGAUGGACUCGCGGCUUAUCAGCUUGUUGGUGGGGUAGUGGCUUACCAAGGCUUUGACGGGUAGCCGGCCUGAGAGGGUGACCGGCCACAUUGGGACUGAGAUACGGCCCAGACUCCUACGGGAGGCAGCAGUGGGGAAUAUUGCACAAUGGGCGGAAGCCUGAUGCAGCAACGCCGCGUGCGGGAUGACGGCCUUCGGGUUGUAAACCGCUUUCGCCUGUGACGAAGCGUGAGUGACGGUAAUGGGUAAAGAAGCACCGGCUAACUACGUG